This is a long non-coding RNA of Meriones unguiculatus (Mongolian gerbil), 5675 nucleotides long. RefSeq lists it as uncharacterized. Lineage: Eukaryota; Metazoa; Chordata; Mammalia; Rodentia; Muridae. The record is from RefSeq and is a predicted model, not a curated record. The transcript has 3 exons.
GGGGCGACUGGGCGCGCGCAGCGCCGGCCACCGAGGCUCGCGGUUUGGGCUCUGGGAACGCCAGGCUGGUGAGGUGAGAAAGCUGGGUAGAGCGUUGAAACGUCGGAACUCCUUGACCUCCUCCGGAAAACAGGAAGAAAGGCUGCGAGGUGGAGGCGAGGAGAGCAGAGGGAAUGGAGGGGACAGCGGAGGCUGAGGGACGCGAGGCACCUGCCACGCUGAAGGAGACCGGUGCGGAGCUGGCGCGGCGGCUGGAGCGGCCUGGAGCUUUGCCGAGGACCCACGUUUGGCUCCCGGCGCCCGGCGCAGCGCACACCGUCCAGUCCCGGGGAAGCCCGCGCCCUCUUCCGACCCCCGCGGCACGAGGCACGCGGACAAGGCUCUCGUACGCGUAAAAGAAAAUGAGCAGAACUCGCCUAAAGUGAAUGAAAGUGUCAACAGCUUGUGUGGAGCCGUGGCGAAGUGGGCGCUUGAGUACCGAGGAGGUCAAGAAGAGCAUCUGGAGUGAUGAUGACGUGGUGUGAAUGAGAACACCCCCCCACCCCCGCCCCCGGCUGGUGGGGUGUUUGCAUGCUUGGUCCCUAGUUGGUAGGGCUGUUCUGGGAAGGAUUAGGGCUGCGGCCUUGCUGAGGAUUAGGGGUUGGGCUCAUGAGGGUUCCGAAGUCCCGGCCAGGCCCAGCCCUCCCUCUUCCAGCCCUCCCUCUUCGUCCUCCUGCACCACAGUUGCCUGAGGCCACGCUCUGCGCCAUGAUGGUCAGCUCACCCUCUGAAGCUGCAAGCAGCCCCCACCUAACCGCUUCCUUGUCUAAGUUGGCUGUGGUGUCUCUUCACAGCAGUAGAGCAGUGAGGAAGACAUGGUGACAGCCUUCAUUCUGAGGGAGGCUCCAGCUACACAAAUGCAGGGCUCUAUCUGAACAGUUGAAUGCAGAAUGGACAUAGAGGAAAAGAAACCAUUAAUGCCCCCCCCCAUACCUCCUGACUUUCUCUCGGGUCUCUAUAUGGCACCUGCAGACCCCAGUGAGCCUCAGACCUGCAGUGGGCACACCCCACACCCUGCCAAACCGAUCUAGCCCGAUGCCCGUCCUCAGACCACUACCCUGUCCCAGUGUGUGUGGUCUUUGCCUGGGCUACUGCGGCCCCAGUGUCCUGCUGCCCUUGUGCCCUGUGACUUCUAUGGAGUCUUCUACUCCUUCAGAGUUAAGGCACAGAUUUAACCCUGGCUCAUUUAUUUUCAAAAACUGUCAGUGACUAUUUCCUAUGAAGAGUUUUGAAUGCUUUGGUUUGGCAUCUGUGGCUUUUCAUACUCUUCCUCAGCCUGCUUCUUUCUUUUCUUUUUUUUUCUUUUCUUUUCCUUCCUUUCUUUCUUUCUUUCUUUCUUUCUUUCUUUCUUUCUUUCUUUCUUUUCUCUUUCUCUCUCUCCCUCUCUCUCUCCCUCUCUUUCUUCUGUGUGUGCUUCUUAGUAGCACAACAGAAGCUACUGUCAGAAGUCAGAGCAGGAGCUUAAAUGCGACCAGAGGCAGGGCCCGGGAGGAGUGGGCUUGCCUCUUACAGAACCCAGAACUACUUCCAAGGAUGCCACCACCCACAGGGGCUGGGCCCUCUCACAUCAACCAUUAACUAAAACAAUGCUCUAUAGACAUGGCCCCAGGCAAUCUGUUGGAAGCAAUUCCUCGAGAUUCCCUCUUCCUAGAUUUUAUAUCUAUAUAUCUAUCUAUCUAUCUCUCUAUAUAUAUUUGUGUCAAGUUGACAAAAGGAAUCAGCACCCUGAGCUGCUAACGACCAAAAUUAUCCCAGAAGGUGUUUGGAUUUGAGGCCGGAGAUGCAGAGUCAAGUCUUUGUCUUCUUAAUAGUUGUGGGAUUUGAAGAAACUCUCUGAAGUGUGUUUCCUAUGGCAGUGAUACGAAAGCAUAAAGGUGAAAAUGCCUUUGAAUUUAAUGUCUUUCCAGAAAGCCCUACUUAAAAACAAAACAAAACAUAUUGGGACUAGAGAGAUGGCUCAGCUGUUAAGCACAUGCUCUUAUUCUAGAAGACCUGGGUUUGGUUCAGGGCGCCCAUAGAGCACCUCAAAAUCAUCUGUAACCCCAGCUCCACCGAAUGCCCUCUUCCGGCCUCCAGGAGCAAACGCAUGUGGUACGUGAGCACAUAUGCAGACAAACAGUUGUAAAAGAAAAACAAGCAGCGGCUGCCGAGACGACUCAGAGCUUAAGAGCACUGCCUGCCCUUCCAGAGUUCCCGAGUUCACUUCCCAGCACCCACGGUGGCUCUCACCAUCUAUAGUGAGAUCUGCUGCCCUCUUCUGGCCUGCAGGUAUACAGACCAGCAGAACACUGUACAUAAUAAAUAAAUAAAUAAAUAAACAAAUAAAUAAAUAAAUAAAUUUUAAAGAAAAACAUCUUUUAAAAAGAUGUUUCUUACAAAGCAUGGGGAAGCUUCCAGGGCACAGAGUGGUCUCACAGCAGUUGGAAGGGCUCUUCGUUGGCUGCUUAGCCUUUGCGUGGGAAAAGCCUGCUGCUGACCUGUGGGAGGUGGGCUGCUCUGGUGGCUAGCUGAAGGGAGAUUUUAUCAGGACACACACUGAAGGUUACUGGUAGAAUCAGAAGAUGAUGUCACUGACUAUGCAUUGUUUUCUUCAGUGACAGGUCAUAGAAGAGUUGCGUGGGCCUGGGGUGCUGCCCAGUGGUAGAGUACCAGCCUAGCACGCGCCAAGCCUCAUGACACAAAAAGCAAAAGGCAUCAUUUGGAGUCAGGCACGCUGUUACAUGUACCAGUGCGUGAGAGGCUAAUGCUGGAGAGACCGAGUCUAGCUUAGGCUACACAGAGAAACCCUGUCUCAAAAAAAGAAAGAAAAAGAAAGGAAGAAGGAAGGAAGGAAGAAAGAAAGAGAAAGAAGAAAGAGAAAAGAAAAGCACUUAAGGUCGAGGACUUAAGAUAGAACUGUGUUUUUCUUUUUUACAAGAACAGAACAAACCCUGCAGUGUAAAUGGGAAGGCGUUAAAUUUGGGUAGCUAUCAAACCUCACCUCAAAAAAGCUAGGGUUCAUUUUGUCUAUUUAAGGAUACACAUCCUUAUGUCUUCUUUAUAAAUAGUAACGCUAACUUGCUGUUGUUAAAACAUUACCAGAACUGAAGUGUGCAUUCUUAGAAGGGCUAAAUUUAUAGCCUUUCAUCACUAUCUUUCUUAGAAGUUCCACUUGAAAAAUCCUGUUUCUUCCUUUCUGCUGUUCCCUCCUGCCUUUUCUUCCUCUUUUCUGUUUCCUUAAGUGCUCACUUCACUAGACCCCCACGUCCACCAUGGUCCCAACACUAAGGCGGAAGAUGCUGAAGCCACAGUGCCUCCUGGGGUCUUCCUCAGUACCUCAGGGCACCGUGAGGCAGAGGGCGGCCUUGCAGAGGAACACCCCGUCCUGGAUCGGCAUCAAUAUGUCCGAGUUGAAGGGCCUUGAAUCUUUGGUAAAUACUAAACUCUCCCGAGAAACACACAAGCAGCUCCAUCUAACACCCACCCGAGUGGACACUCAAGUAAAGUGUGUGGAGAGUGACGUUUUGAAUUUCAUAGGAUCUUCAUGUCGGGAAAUGUUUCAUGUCAGAAAAUGAUCCCCCCCCCUCUCACCUAAAACUGUGAAACGAGGUCGUUGAUUCGGCUCAGUAGGACCGUGUGCUGCAGAGUCCUCAGUAUUUGCCUCCUCCACACCAGGCUCUAAGUCCAUCGAGUAAACUGGCCAUCGCGGCACCUGUGGAUAACCUCAGCUCAGAAGGUGGAGGCAUGGGAAGGUCAGGGCUAGGAACAGGCUCAGCCUGUGGAGUGUAAAGGUCCGCUGUUAAUCUCUGGCCUCCGUGUGAGCAUGAGUGUUCAGCCUGGCACCCUGGAACACCAGCUCACCCUGGACUACAGAGGGAGCCUGAGACAGGUGGCUCCGCAUGAGAUCCUGUCCGAGAAACACAAGAACAAAAGGACGUCACCCAAGUUCAUGGGUUGUAUAAAAGCCCGAGCUGACCCCGGAGGUAGAAACUUGAAGUGCUCUUUGUUUAUCGGGGGUUGGGGGGAGUGGGGGGUUAGUCUUUGAGAGGGAGAGACAUGAAAAAUAAGCCACAAGUUAUGUUCAUCAGGCACUAUUCUGACCCUAGCGCACACACUGAACCCUCGGCCAGAAAAGUAGCUGCUCAGGAGGUUUCCACUGCUGUGACAAAUAACCCAAGAGAACCAGCUGGGGGCGGAGGAAGCCUGCUGCAGGGGGUCAGGGCGGAGGGAGCCUGCUGCAGGGGGUCAGGGCGGAGGGAGCCUCACACAGUCAGGUGGGAGGCAGUAAGCCGCGGCCAGAGUGACAGCGACCGAGCAGAGAGAGCAGAGCUGCUCCAUUCCUGGUGCCUGGGAGGGACGAGAAGCAGGCAGGGGUCUCUCAAGGGCGUGCCCUCCCCUCGGCCUCCCUCCUAACGGUUCUGCCACCUCCCGGGUAAAACACAGGCUUUGGGGGUGGUCAGGAUCCACAUCGUAGGACUCGGUGUUGUCCCCACUGUGCAGGUGGGUAGAUGGGGCACAGAGACACUAAACCGUUGGCCGCGCCUCGGAGGCAGGACCAGUCCCUAGCCAGCUGUCACAGCUUGCUGCGCUGCCUUUCUGGGGAAAACACUGGGGCUCAGAAAUAUUAUCGCGCGAAAAAUCUUUGUCCUGCCAGGCCUUAGGCAUUCGGUCAGAAAGCUCCCAAAUGCGCAAAGUUAGGUUUCCAUGUGGAGGCAAGGGGACAGGCGUCACUGUCGCCAGCAGGGCGCGAUGUCGCACACCUGUAGCCUAGCACUUGGGAGGCAGAGGCAGGCGGAUCUCUGUGAGUUCGAGGCCAGCCUGGUCUACAGAGGGAGUCCAGGACAGCCAGGGCCACACAGAGAAACCCUGUCUCAAAACACCAACAAAACAAAACGACAACAAAAAGAAGUCACCACCGUCAAAGCUGCCCUCGCAGAGGGGAAUGACUUUUGUUCUCUGCCUCAGAGAGACUUGGCAUUUCCUAUUAAACUCCUGUUUGCCAAAUUUAUAUCUGUGCAAGUACUAAAGCCAAAAGCCGAAGCACCUCCCAGAGCACACUCAGACACAAGCUCGUGGCAUUCCUAGGACUGGGCGGUCAGGACUCCCAGCCCUGCCCGGAGGAGGUCUUUCAGGCUGCGAUGGCCUGUCGCUGCUGUGGGAACUGAGCCUCCUGCUCAGGCCCACACAAACGCACAUCUCGUUUUUCCACCCACACCAUUUUCUGCUGAAAUACCUAAAGGUGAUUUAGGGAAGAGUGAUUUAAUCCUGAACCGCGCCUGUCUGCUGCUGUGAGGGCACACCCUGACGAGGAACCCGAGGAAGAGCUCGCUUCACCUUCCAUCUUGGAAGUCUGUCACGGAGGCAGCCAGGGCAGGAGCUCAUGCAGGAGCCUGGAGGCAGAACUGAAGCACAGGCCAUGGAGGGGCCCUGUUUGCUGGCUCGUUCCCCUGGCUGUCCUGGACUCUCUUGGUAGACCAGGCUGGCCUCUGCCUCCCUGAGUGCUGGCAUCAAAGGCAUGUGCCACCAAGUCCAGCAAUACUUUUAUUUUUAAACAAAAUAAAUUACCUUAUCUCUAAUAAUGGUAAAAGACAAAUAAUGAAUUUUGCUGUGAUUUAUGGGUUUGUUUUGGAGUAUGUUGUGUGCACACAUAUGUUGAA